RNAcentral lists this ribosomal RNA (254 nucleotides) under uncultured bacterium. RNAcentral describes it as "partial 16S ribosomal RNA". It matches the Rfam family "Bacterial small subunit ribosomal RNA", at positions 524 to 776 of the family's 1533-position model. The record is from RNAcentral.
UACGUAGGGUGCAAGCGUUGUCCGGAAUUAUUGGGCGUAAAGAGCUCGUAGGCGGUCUGUCGCGUCGGCUGUGAAAACUCGGGGCUCAACUCCGAGCUUGCAGUCGAUACGGGCAGGCUAGAGUCCUGGAGAGGAAGGUGGAAUGCUUGGUGUAGAGGUGAAAUUCGUAGAUAUCAAGCGGAACACCGGUGGCGAAGGCGGCCUUCUGGACAGUGACUGACGCUGAAGACGCGAAAGCGUGGGGAGCAAACAGG